This is a long non-coding RNA of Drosophila biarmipes, 773 nucleotides long. RefSeq lists it as uncharacterized. The record is from RefSeq and is a predicted model, not a curated record. The transcript has 3 exons. NCBI's taxonomy places the organism in Eukaryota, Metazoa, Arthropoda, Insecta, Diptera, Drosophilidae.
AAUUUGCGUUGCGCAAUACGCUCAUCGGCAUCGCAUACUGAAUGCAUUGGACGUCAUUUGAGCACGCAAUUAAGCGCCCGUGCAACUUAAUUUCACCGCGGAUCGGCUACGUCCCUAAGCUUCAUCUCGUCACAGGAGGGCAUCAGCGGGCUUCGACCUAACCUCGUUGCGGGAACACCGAGAAGUACAACCCCUAUCGUCAUCUCACCGCGGGAGCGCGUACAGUGAUACGGGUUCUAUAUCGAUGCAGACGUAAACUCUAUAAACGGCGAUUGUACCAAAAACCUGAUCAUGGAAAAAUGUUAGUGGUACCUCAAGCAAUCAGAUGGCGCCUAACCAAGUGCAACCACGAUAAAGCGGGAACCGAAAAGGGCGACUAUGUCAAGUCCUACAUUGCUUCUUGGUGAACUAUACUUGCAAGAAGUGUUACACAUACCGUUCCGAACAGUUAUCAUUCAUCACAUUGGGCAGUUCAUAUAAAGUAAAACCAACAGCUGCAAUAAAAGCCCUGAAACGAAUUUGCUGUGUUUAGAGCCAACUCUUUUACAUCAAUGCAGUUCGCCCAUCUUAUAAAUGAAAAUGGAAGAUAUGCUACGAUGGCAGGUAUACUUCCCCAAAGAAAUUCGGUGUAGACGAUCUGGUUAUAAUCGAAUUUUUUCCAGCUGCGAUAGGAAUUACACAUAAAUUGGAUCCAGUUUUUAAAAGGACCUUAUUUGUUAUCCAAGGUUCUUUCUAACGAUCGAUACUUAAUAGAGGACUUUACAGAUCAUUCA